This 541-nucleotide unclassified non-coding RNA is filed under the name Chamaedendron fragilis. Its description in RNAcentral is "Costularia fragilis partial external transcribed spacer". The record is from RNAcentral. Lineage: Eukaryota; Viridiplantae; Streptophyta; Magnoliopsida; Poales; Cyperaceae.
CUGCAUUUUGUUGCGGCCAACUGUCAUGGGGCGGUCUUUUCACUUUUUCCUUUUGCGUGCUCCUUUUGCCGCGGGCGAUGGUUGCGAAUGGUUGUCUGUUCGGUUCUUUCCCCACGGGGAACUAAUUUGCGGGCUUCGGGACGGUCUUUGCUUGCCCCGUGGAUACUUGCUAUCUUGGGUGCUGCCGUUUCAUUGGGUGAGAACUUGCGUCGCAGUGGUGGAUUGCUCCUAUGCUUCGCUUGUAUUUCGCCGUGUCUCGUGGAUGCUGUGCCCGUCGAGGAUUUCAUGGGCCUCUGUUGCCCUGAUUUUCUCGGGAUCUCUGGUUGUGCACCGGAUCACCGCCCCGCGCCUCCUGUGUCUUGCUGUGGAUGUUGGGCUGUCGGUGCGUUGCGUGCGCGGGCGUGUUCCGAGUGCAUCUGUGAGGUGUUUUUCGAUUCAGAGUGCAACUGUCGGUUCACGCCAUGCGAGUGGAUUCCCGUUUGGGGUGCUCUCGAAUGGCGUGUCGUCUCUUGCUCAGGAUGGGCUACCUGGUUGAUCCUGC